UCUGGAUUAAAUCUGUCUAAGAAUUUCUUAGAUCCUAAGGAAUUAAUGGAAUUAUUAAAAUCUAGAGAUUAUGAAAGGUGAGUUUUUAAUUUUAGAAAGAUUUAAUUUGUAGCUUUGAAUUAUUCACAUAGACUUGAAUAUUUUGUUUUCUAUAGGGAAAUAAAAGGAUCAAGAGAGAAGGUCAUUAGUGAUAAAGAUCUAGAGUUGUUGUUAGAUCGAAGUGAUCUUAUUGAUCAAAUGAAUGCUUCAGGACCAAUUAAAGAGAAGAUGGGGAUAUUCAAGAUAUUAGAAAAUUCUGAAGAUUCCAGUCCUGAAUGUUUGUUUUAAAGUGGAGCUCAAGAAUAGCUUUUAAAAGUUCUUGUUUACGUCUAGUGAUUUCCCUGUAUUGGGUUUGAAAUACUGAUUGUCCACUUCACCUUUUUUAUUAUAUCAGUUGACAUGUAACUAGUACCAUGCGUACUUAAAUAGAUGGUAAUUUUCUGAGCCUUACCAAGAACAAAGAAGUAUCCAUAUUAAGUUUAGAUUUUCAGUUAAUUUUUGAGACUGAGUAGUAUUCUUGGAUACAGGCUGAUGUGUACUUAACCACUUCCAGAUUUAUACAGUCUUCCUGUGGAAGUUUAGUAAAUGUCUUUUUCCCUCCUUUCUUCUAGUAAUGCAGUUCAUGGGCUUUAGGUAC
This 676-nucleotide small RNA is filed under the name Pan troglodytes (chimpanzee). RNAcentral's name for it is "retained intron". The record is from RNAcentral. Lineage: Eukaryota; Metazoa; Chordata; Mammalia; Primates; Hominidae.